AAGCCACCGGGACUCGUCAUUGUAUCAACUGUGGUUUUCUGGUGGCAGAGGAAUCGGCCCAACAGGGAAAAUAAAGAUGGUACGAGUUAUCCUGAAGUAUGGACCCUACCAGAGGUGAAACGGCAUCUACCACAAUGCAGGAAAGGUCCAGGGCUUGUUGUCGGCUAUAGCCUGUUCUGGUCACGUGGUCAUCACUCAAAAGACGGAGAAGCAUGAAGCAUGUGAGGUGUACAUUGAUUCCAAACGAGUUUGGUCAUGUAACAUUAAAGGGCUGCAACCAGGUGACGGCCAUUCCCAUCCAUUGUGUGUUGAGGCUCUGAAGGCUAUAAAAGCUCACAGGGCAUCGUAAUAUAUAUGUAAUAUGAUGUGAUAAACAAUAGGUAUGACCUUUAUACCUACCUACGUCUUCAAUGACGGUUCCUUCUUAAAGACGAGACUGGUCGGAACCUGAUGUCCUCAGACUGUAAAACCAAAAUAAAAGUAUAUAAAUUAUUUCAUACACCUUGAUUGUC
RNAcentral lists this long non-coding RNA (512 nucleotides) under Mizuhopecten yessoensis (Yesso scallop). RNAcentral describes it as "uncharacterized LOC110467375, transcript variant X4". The record is from RNAcentral. Lineage: Eukaryota; Metazoa; Mollusca; Bivalvia; Pectinida; Pectinidae.